This 331-nucleotide long non-coding RNA is filed under the name Panax ginseng (ginseng). Its description in RNAcentral is "long non-coding RNA (PGIN_LNC014528)". Lineage: Eukaryota; Viridiplantae; Streptophyta; Magnoliopsida; Apiales; Araliaceae. The record is from RNAcentral.
GGACUUGGUAUGAUUAUGACCAGGGAUUAUUCGGUAUAAUCAUGACCGUAAUGUUACAAAUGAUGUGGUAAAAGUCCUCAUUGGCCCGUAGUGAAUUAAUGGACUGUUGUUGGCAUGAUCAUGACCAUUGAUGAAUACACAAAUAUCUUUGGCCCGUAGUGCAUGGAUAAUUUGUGGUUGUCAUACUAAUGAAUAUCCUUGGCCGUAGUGCAUGGAUGAUGUGGAUUAUUUAUUAAGUUGAGUCCCAGCGAUAAAAGUGAUGAAAAACCUUUUAAAUCAUAAAAGAUAGUUAUAAUCAUGUGAAUUAAUAGCAAUUAAUUGCUCAUUUAUC